UAGGGAAUUUUGGGCAAUGGGGGAAACCCUGACCCAGCAACGCCGCGUGUGGGAUGAAGGCUCUCGGGUCGUAAACCACUGUCAGGAGGGAAGAACUGCGGUUCGGAUAAUACCCGUGCCGUUUGACGGUACCUCCAAAGGAAGCACCGGCUAACUCCGUGCCAGCAGCCGCGGUAAUACGGAGGGUGCAAGCGUUGUUCGGAAUUACUGGGCGUAAAGAGCGUGUAGGCGGCUUGGAAAGUCGGGUGUGAAAUCCCCGGGCUCAACCCGGGAACUGCAUCCGAAACUUCCAGGCUAGAGUCCCGGAGAGGAAGGCAGAAUUCCCAAUGUAGGGGUGAAAUCCGUAGAUAUUGGGAGGAAUACCAGUGGCGAAGGCGGCCUUCUGGACGGUGACUGACGCUGAGACGCGAAAGCGUGGGGAGCAAACAGGAUUAGAUACCCCGGUAGUCC
This 450-nucleotide ribosomal RNA is filed under the name uncultured prokaryote. RNAcentral describes it as "bacterial SSU rRNA". It matches the Rfam family "Bacterial small subunit ribosomal RNA", at positions 355 to 796 of the family's 1533-position model. The record is from RNAcentral.